AUCCAGCUGAUGAGUCUCAAAUAGGAUGAAACGCGUGUCCUGGAU
RNAcentral lists this non-coding RNA (45 nucleotides) under Schistosoma margrebowiei. The record is from RNAcentral. Lineage: Eukaryota; Metazoa; Platyhelminthes; Trematoda; Strigeidida; Schistosomatidae.